AUAACAUUACAACAACAACAACAACAACAAAGCCUUUUCCCACUAAGUGGGGUCGGCUAUAUGAAUCCUAGAACGCCAUUGCGCUCGGUUUUGUGUCAUGUCCUCCGUUAGAUCCAAGUACUCUAAGUCUUUUCUUAGAGUCUCUUCCAAAGUUUUCCUAGGUCUUCCUCUACCCCUUUGGCCCUGAACCUCUGUCCCGUAGUCACAUCUUCGAACCGGAGCGUCAGUCGGCCUUCUUUGCACAUGUCCAAAUCAUCGGAGCCGAUUUUCUCUCAUCUUUCCUACAAUUUCGGCUACUCCUACUUUACCUCGGAUAUCCUCAUUCCCAAUCUUAUCCUUUCUCGUGUGCCCACACAUCCCACGAAGCAUCCUCAUCUCCGCUACACCCAUUUUGUGUACGUGUUGAUGCUUCACCGCCCAACAUUCUGUGCCAUACAACAUCGCUGGCCUUAUUGCCGUCGUAUAAAAUUUUCCCUUGAGUUUCAGUGGCCUACGACGGUCACACAACACGCCGGAUGCACUCUUACACUUCAUCCAUCCAGCUCGUAUUCUAUGGUUGAGAUCUCCAUCUAAUUCUCCGUUCUCUUGCAAGAUAGAUCCUAGGUAGCGAAAACGGUCGCUUUUUGUGAUCUUCGCUAGAUUGCUCCGGUCAUUAGUGUGGAUAAGUAUAUAUAAAUGGAUAGAGAUAGGAAAGCAAACACAAGAUGUACGUGGUUCACCCAGAUUGGCUACGUCCACGGAAUAGAAGAGUUCUCAUUAAUUGUGAAGGGUUUACACAAGUACAUAGGUUCAAGCUUUCCUUUAGUGAGUACAAGUGAAUGAUUUAGUACAAAUGACAUUAGGAAAUAUUGUGGGAGAAUGAUCUCGUAAUCACGAAACUUCUAAGUAUCGGAGUGUGGUGUCGUCUUGACUUGCCUUAUCUGUCUCAUAGGUAGAUGUGGCAUCUUCUCUGGAAGUACUCUUCCUCCAUCCAGGGGUGGUAUCUUUAACUGGUGGAGAUGCACAAGGUAAUGUAUCAAUUUCACUUGAAGCUUACUUGUAGUCUCAGGCUUGGUCAAGCGCGAUACAAACCAUGUAGUAGGAGUCUCCCAAGUCGCCGAGCUAGGGGGUCUGCUGAAAGAGGUGACAGACAAGGUAAGCAAUCAGAGCUCCGACUGAUUGUUCACCUUCUCCCCAUCUUGCAGCAGCAUGAAGGAUAAAAAGAAGAAAAAUGAGAAGAGAUGAUAUGAGAUACUUUUGCUUUUGAAGAAGUAACUUUCCACAGGCUUAUUCUUGAACUGAGCUGGAGGGUUUUCUGGUUUCCUCCAGAGUAUAAGGCCGACUGAAGAAUUUGAGGGUCAAAACAAGUCCAUCAAAUCUAGAGUACGUUCCACCCUGCUGAUAUGGGAUACUUUUGCUUUUGACAGAGUAAUGGGUGUAUCGGCACGUGUGCUGUUACGCUUGUCUCCACAUGCUUCCUUGUAUCCUUCGCACUUGCCCUAUCUGUUCCUCAAGUAGAUGCGGAAUCUUCCCUGGAAACAUAAGAUGUUGAAGAUGAGUACUCGAGAGCAAUGCCAGGUAAGUAAUCAAGUAAGGGGUUCCAGGCAGUCAGUUCCUGGCUGGAAGCUUGAUCCAAGUGCUGACUGAUUGCUCUCUUUCUCCUUGUCUUGCAGGUAAAAACAAGGCCAAAGGAAAAGACAGGGAAAAAGCAUGAUAUGGGAUACUCUUGCUUUUAACCCUGAUGAUAUGAGAUAUUCUUGCUCUAGUAUAGCUUGUUUGCAGAGGUAUUAUCGGGGGGAAAGAAAGCUGAAUAUUUCGAAAGGCUUCGUUGGGAGUGCCCUCUCAGAUAUGAUGAAGGGUUGAGCAUUUUUGCAGGUCUGCCUGUCCGUUGGGGAUGGAGGUCGACAUAUAUAGGAGUCUCCCUAACAACAAGUAGUAAUGCUAUUCCUUUACCCUGCUUGGUCAUAGCACGGUAGUGGGAGCUGCCAGUUUCACAUGUUUUAACUCUGUCAGAGCACUUUGAAAAAGUGGUUUGUGGUAUCUGGCUCUCGAGAUUCGGAGAACGAUGCCUCUUCGAUUUUUGAGAAAGCAAUCAUGCUGGGGGUCUGGCUCUCGAGAUUCGUAGAGCAGUGUCUCUUUGAUUUUUGAGGAAGUAAUCAUGUUGGGAGUCUGGCUCUCGAGAUUCGGAGGGCGGUGCCUCUUCGAUUUUGUAGCAAGCAAUCCUGUUGGGAGUGUUGUCUCGAAUGUGAGUAAAGGUUGGGCAUGUUUGCUAGUCUACCUUGCCACGAAGCACAAAGGUUGACACACAGAGACUUUCCAAUUAUCCAGCAAUGGUACUGUUCCUUUACCCUCUCUUCGCUUUUGAGAAAGUAGUCAUGUUGGGAGUCUGGCUCUCGAGAUUCGGAGGACGGUGCCUCUUCGAUUUUGGAGCAAGCAAUCUUGUUGGGAGUGUUUUCUCGAAAGUGAGUAAAGGUUGGGCAUGUUUGCUAGUCUACAUUGCCACGAAGCACAGAGGUUGACACACACAGGGACUUUCCAAUUAUCCAGCAGUGGUACUGUUCCUUUACCCUUGUGGGUAAUAAUAUGGUAGCUAGACCUUCAAAAUUUAUGUGUCUAAACUUUGUUAGUGCUGUUUCUUUGCUAUUCUUUUACCUUUCUUGGUCAGAGCGAUGUAGUGGGAGCUGCAAGCUUCACGUGCUCAACUUUGGCAGAGAACUUUGGCAAAGUUAUCUGUGGUACCCAUGAGCUAUUGUUGCGUGUGGGAAGUGGGUGAUUGAACAGUAAGAUUCAUGUGCUUUCUACUUCACCAAAAGUCUUCGACAGAAAUUCCCAUAAUUUCUGCAAAGCUGAGUGUGCGUGUGACAGGUGCUGACAAGGCUAGAAAAGUAGGUGCCUCUUCGAUUUCUGAGAUCGGCCCUCGUGGUCUCUGAGCAGCCCAGCUUUUGAGAAAGCGAGCGCCUCUUCGAUUGAUUCGGAGAACGAUGCCUCAUCGAUUUUUGAGAAAGCAAUCAUGCUGGGGGUCUGGCUCUCGAAGAUUCGGGGAGCAGUGUCUCUUCGAUUUUUGAGAAAGUAAUCACGUUGGGAGUCUGGCUCUCGAGAUUCGGAGGGCGGUGCCUCUUCGAUUUUGGAGCAAGCAAUCUUGUUGGGAGUGUUUUCUCGAAUGUGAGUAAAGGUUGGGCAUGUUUGCUAGUCUACCUUGCCACGAAGCACAGAGGUUGACACACAGGGACUUUCCAAUUAUCCAGCAAUGGUACUGUUCCUUUACCCUCUCUUUGAUUUUUAAAGAAAGUAGUCAUGUUGGGAGUCUGGCUCUCGAGAUUCGGAGGACGGUGCCUCUUCGAUUUUGGAGCAAGCAAUCUUGUUGGGAGUGUGUUUUCUCGAAUGUGAGUAAAGGUUGGGCAUGUUUGCUAGUCUACCUUGCCACGAAGCACAGAGGUUGACACACAGGGACUUUCCAAUUAUCCAGCAGUGGUACUGUUCCUUUACCCUUGUGGGUAAUAAUAUGGUAGCUAGACCUUCAAAAUUUAUGGGUCUAAACUUUGUUAAUGCUGUUUCUUUGCUAUUCUUUUACCCUUCUUGGUCAGAGCGAUGUAGUGGGAGCUGCAAGCUUCACGUGCUCAACUUUGGCAGAGAACUUUGGCAAAGUUAUCUGUGGUACCCAUGAGCUAUUGUUGCGUGUGGGAAGUGGGUGAUUGAACAGUAAGAUUCAUGUGUUUUCUACUUCCCCAGAAGUCUUCGACAGAAUGCCCAUAAUUUCUGCAAAGCUGAGUGUGCGUGUGACGGGUGCUGACAAGGCUGGAAAAGUAGGUGCCUCUUCGAUUUCUGAGAUCGGCCCUCGUGGUCUCUGGGGAGCCCAGCUUUUGAGAAAGCGAGCGCCUCUUCGAUUUCUGAGAUCGGCCUUCGUGGUCUUUGAGCAGCCCAACUUUUGAGAAAGCAAACGCCUCUUCGAUUUCUGAGAUCAACCCUCGUGAUCUCUAAGCAGCCCAGCUUUUGAGAAAGCAAACGCCUCUUCGAUUUCUGAGCAGGCGCCUCUUCGAUUUCCGAAGCUCCGUCGAGUGCAGAUUUUUAUAGAGGCUGACAUUAAGUUCCAAAGCACACUUGAAAUCCACCAGUAGAAGCUUCAUUCUUGCACUUCUAAGAUCUUGAUUUGUCCGACCUCUUCUCUCUUCAACACCUUUGAAAAUGUCUGGCCCCUCCGACCGUCGUUUUGACUUGAACCUUGUUGAAGAGGCAGCCCCGCCUUCUCCAGACAACAUAUGGCGCCCAUCCUUCGUCUCUCCUACUGGUCCUCUUACCGUUGGGGAUUCCGUGAUGAAGAAUGAUAUGACCGCUGCGGUGGUGGCCAGGAACCUUCUCACUCCCAAAGAUAACAGACUACUUUCCAAACGGUCUGAUGAGUUAGCUGUUAAGGAUUCGCUGGCUCUCAGUGUGCAGUGUGCAGGUUCUGUGUCUAAUAUGGCCCAACGCCUAUUUGCUCGAACCCGCCAAGUUGAAUCCUUGGCGGCUGAAGUGAUGAGUCUCAAACAGGAGAUUAGAGGGCUCAAGCAUGAGAAUAAACAGUUGCACCGGCUCGCACAUGACUAUGCUACAAACAUGAAGAGGAAGCUUGACCAGAUGAAGGAAACUGAUGGUCAGGUUUUACUUGAUCAUCAGAGAUUUGUGGGUUUGUUCCAAAGGCAUUUAUUGCCUUCGUCUUCUGGGGCUGUACCGCGUAAUGAAGCUCCGAAUGAUCAACCUCUGAUGCCUCCUCCUUCUAGGGUUCUGUCCAGUACUGAGGCUCCAAAUGAUCCCCCUCCGGUGCCUUCUCUUUCUGGGGCUCUACCGACUGCUGAGACUUCUCCUAAGCAACCUUUGUGAAGGCUCCGUCUUGUGUGUUUAUUUUGACUCAUGUAUAUGUACAUAUUUGUAGCUGAUCGGGGAUAUCAAUAAAUAAGCUUUCCUUCAUUUCAACGUAUUGUGUUAAAUACACCAAAGCCUUCUUCGCUAAGUUCUUUGAAUUUUCUUUUGUUGAAGCUUGUAUGUUGAAGCUUUCUGAGUGGAGCAUGUAGGUUGGGGUAGUGUUCCCUUAAUUUCCCGAGUGAGGAAAACUUCUCGAUUGGAGACUUGGAAAAUCCAAGUCACUGAGUGGGAUCGGCUAUAUGAAUCUUAGAACGCCAUUGUGCUCGAUCCUGUGUCAUGUCCUUCCGUUAGAUCCAAGUACUCUAAGUCUUUUCUUAGAGUCUCUUCCAAAGUUUUCCUAGGUCUUCCUCUACCCCUUCGGCCCUGAACCUCUGUCCCAUAGUCGCAUCUUCUAAUCGGAGCGUCAGUAGGCCUUCUUUGCACAUGUCCAAACCACCGUAACCGAUUUUCUCUCAUCUUUCCUUCAAUUUCGGCUACUCCUACUUUACCCCGGAUAUCCUCAUUCCUAAUCUUAUCCUUUCUCGUGUGCCCACACAUCCAACGAAGCAUCCUCAUCUCCGCUACACCCAUUUUGUGUACGUGUUGAUGUUUCACCGCCCAACAUUCUGUGCCAUACAGCAUCGCCGGCCUUAUUGCCGUCCUAUAAAAUUUUCCCUUGAGCUUCAAUGGCAUACGGCGGUCACACAACACACCGGAUGCACUCUUCCACUUCAUCCAUCCAGCUUGUAUCCAGCCUUAGUAUAACAUUGGGUUAAAAAAAAUUAACAUAUGAAAAUUUGAAAACCCUGAUAAUUCAAGAUAAUGAAGUGUGAAUUACCCUUAAUAUUAAUAUAAAUCACCAACACAAAUGCUUGGUGUAGAACAGGGCCACAUCUACUACCUUUAGUUGGGAAGAGAGAGAGUUAUUCUCCCCCAAGUAAAGGAGUGGUUGAAAAUAUCUUGAACCAUGUACUUUCUCUAUAUAUGAGACAGUGUAGAAAUGUAAAAGAUGAACCCUAACCUACUUCCUUACUAUAAAUCGUUUGUAAAAAGAUGAACCCUAAAACCUGUGCUAUCGCAUCACUCAUUCAAGUCUAUUGCCUUUAGCUCCCAACCUCAAAAUUGAAACGAGAGAGAGAGGCUUUACUGCAGCGAGUCGGGUGAUGACCGACUGGUGACUGGUUAUUGACUCACAAGCCUCUCUCUCACAUUGGUGACUGGCUAAUGCAGCAGCGUAUCAAUAUUCAUGUCUCUCUCAUCCCUCAUUACCGUACCAUCUGGCUGACAGCUGUGAGCAUAUUCUGGUUGGGGCCAUGAACUGCUCCCUACAACCCUAGGUGUACAUUAUAAAAGAGGUGAUAUCCGUUUUUGCUCAACAACAACAACAACAACAAAGCCUUUUCCCACUAAGUGGGGUCGGCUAUAUGAAUCCUAGAACGCCAUUGCGCUCGGUUUUGUGUCAUGUCAUCCGUUAGAUCCAAGUACUCUAAGUCUUUUCUUAGAGUCUCUUCCAAAGUUUUCUUAGGUCUUCCUCUACCCCUUCGGCCCUGAACCUCUGUCCCGUAGUCAUAUCUUCGAACCGGAGCGUCAGUCGGCCUUCUUUGCACAUGUCCAAAUCACCGGAGCCGAUUUUCUCUCAUCUUUCCUACAAUUUCGGCUACUCCUACUUUACCUCGGAUAUCCUCAUUCCCAAUCUUAUCCUUUCUCGUGUGCCCACACAUCCCACGAAGCAUCCUCAUCUCCGCUACACCCAUUUUGUGUACGUGUUGAUGCUUCACCGCCCAACAUUCUGUGCCAUACAACAUCGCUGGCCUUAUUGCCGUCCUACAAAAUUUUCCCUUGAGCUUCAGUGGCCUACGACGGUCACACAACACGCCGGAUGCGCUCUUACACUUCAUCCAUCCAGCUCGUAUUCUAUGGUUGAGAUUUCCAUCUAAUUCUCCGUUCUCUUGCAAGAUAGAUCCUAGGUAGCGAAAACGGUCGCUUUUUUGUGAUCUUCGCUAGAUUGCUCCGGUCAUUAGUGUGGAUAAGUAUAUAAAUGGA
This 6900-nucleotide long non-coding RNA is filed under the name Malus domestica (apple). RNAcentral describes it as "long non-coding RNA (MDOM_LNC007366)". The record is from RNAcentral. Lineage: Eukaryota; Viridiplantae; Streptophyta; Magnoliopsida; Rosales; Rosaceae.